This 74-nucleotide transfer RNA is filed under the name archaeon CG2_30_31_98. RNAcentral's name for it is "tRNA-Lys". It matches the Rfam family "tRNA". From Rfam's summary of the family: Transfer RNA (tRNA) molecules are approximately 80 nucleotides in length. Their secondary structure includes four short double-helical elements and three loops (D, anti-codon, and T loops). The record is from RNAcentral. RNAcentral also lists the same sequence under 2 other names.
GGGCUCGUAGCUCAGCCUGGUAGAGCAGCGGACUCUUAAUCCGUUUGUCGCGGGUUCAAAUCCCGUCGAGCCCA